Molecule: long non-coding RNA, 951 nt
Organism: Cercocebus atys (sooty mangabey)
Lineage: Eukaryota; Metazoa; Chordata; Mammalia; Primates; Cercopithecidae
Exons: 3
Source: RefSeq, a predicted model, not a curated record
GCCGAGAUUGUACCGCUGCACUCCAGCCUGGUGACGGAGUGAGACUCUGUCUAAAAAACCACCAAAACUCAAAAUUGCCAACAGGAAGAAGGCAGGAGCAAAACAGGUGCUCACAGCUGCCAGAUAUUUGUGGGCCCUGCCUGGGGUAGAGAUCUAAAUGCUGGCUCUGCAUUGAAAACAUAAGGGAAUUUCUUUGUCUUGCUCUUGCUCCGGCUCCCUGUUACUGCAUACCAUGGUAUCUCUUUUCUUUCUAGGUGAUAAUGCCCCAUCCAUAAGCAAUUUACUAACAAAAUGGAGGACAGGACUUCACUCCUCCCCAAACAUCUACAAGGGGAAGGUCCCCUUUUACUGAGCACCGUGGCCACAAUUUUAACAGUUAUUACAAAAUAAAAGUUGCUACAUUCUCAUGAUGAUGGGUUUUCCCAUCACCUGAAAAAUUAUUUACCGAGUGUCUGUAGCCAGCGUGAAAAACACCCCUAAAGUUUAGAUAUGCAUCAGUAGUUCCCUCAAGAACAGCACACGUUAAAAGCUUUCAUAAAGAGAAAACAAAAAUAAGGAGUUGAAAAACAUAAAAGUAUAAAUUAGUAGCCACAAAAGGGAGAAGUUAAAGAGAGACUAUGAAAACAUAUUUGUCUUGCAGAAAGAUACAAUCUGAGAAGCAACCCUGCAGGACUUGGCUGAAAGUCAACGGGUGGCUGAUCAAAUGAAGCGAUAGGAGCUGUGUAAUUUGUCAUAUCAAGCAUCUGCGACAAACCCACGCACAAUCCGAGGAAUAGAUGACCAACAUAUAUACUUAAAGAAAGUGAACUGCCAACACAACUUGGUCACAACAAGAUUCUGCAUAUGAGAAAACCAAGAACCGGAAAGACAAGGGAUCCGUCAGGAACACCACAUGUUGCAACAGAACAAUGACACCUGAGAAAAGUAGAAAUAAAUUGAAGGGAGGAAGGA